GUCGAGCGGAAAGGCCCUUCGGGGUACUCGAGCGGCGAACGGGUGAGUAACACGUGAGUAACCUGCCCCAGGCUUUGGGAUAACCCCGGGAAACCGGGGCUAAUACCGGAUAUGACCAUCUGUCGCAUGGUGGGUGGUGGAAAGAUUUUUUGGCUUGGGAUGGGCUCGCGGCCUAUCAGCUUGUUGGUGGGGUGAUGGCCUACCAAGGCGGCGACGGGUAGCCGGCCUGAGAGGGCGACCGGCCACACUGGGACUGAGACACGGCCCAGACUCCUACGGGAGGCAGCAGUGGGGAAUCUUGCACAAUGGGCGGAAGCCUGAUGCAGCGACGCCGCGUGAGGGAUGACGGCCUUCGGGUUGUAAACCUCUUUCAGCAGGGACGAAGCGUUUGUGACGGUACCUGCAGAAGAAGCGCCGGCCAACUACGUGCCAGCAGCCGCGGUAAGACGUAGGGCGCAAGCGUUGUCCGGAUUUAUUGGGCGUAAAGAGCUCGUAGGCGGCUUGUCGCGUCGACUGUGAAAACCCGUGGCUCAACUGCGGGCUUGCAGUCGAUACGGGCAGGCUAGAGUUCGGUAGGGGAGACUGGAAUUCCUGGUGUAGCGGUGAAAUGCGCAGAUAUCAGGAGGAACACCGGUGGCGAAGGCGGGUCUCUGGGCCGAUACUGACGCUGAGGAGCGAAAGCGUGGGGAGCGAACAGGAUUAGAUACCCUGGUAGUCCACGCUGUAAACGUUGGGCGCUAGGUGUGGGGGGCCUCUCCGGUUCUCUGUGCCGCAGCUAACGCAUUAAGCGCCCCGCCUGGGGAGUACGGCCGCAAGGCUAAAACUCAAAGGAAUUGACGGGGG
This 843-nucleotide ribosomal RNA is filed under the name Salinispora arenicola. Its description in RNAcentral is "bacterial SSU rRNA". It matches the Rfam family "Bacterial small subunit ribosomal RNA", at positions 61 to 919 of the family's 1533-position model. Lineage: Bacteria; Bacillati; Actinomycetota; Actinomycetes; Micromonosporales; Micromonosporaceae. The record is from RNAcentral.